RNAcentral lists this ribosomal RNA (489 nucleotides) under uncultured bacterium. RNAcentral's name for it is "partial 16S ribosomal RNA". It matches the Rfam family "Bacterial small subunit ribosomal RNA", at positions 28 to 507 of the family's 1533-position model. The record is from RNAcentral.
GAUGAACGCUGGCGGCGUGCUUAACACAUGCAAGUCGAACGGUGAAGGGAUCAGCUUGCUGGUUCUGGAUGAGUGGCGAACGGGUGAGUAACACGUGAGUAACCUGCCCCCUUCUUCUGGAUAACCGCAUGAAAGUGUGGCUAAUACGGGAUAUUCUGGGUCUGUCGCAUGAUGGGUCUGGGAAAGAUAUUGUUUCGGUGGGGGAUGGGCUCGCGGCCUAUCAGCUUGUUGGUGGGGUGAUGGCCUACCAAGGCGGUGACGGGUAGCCGGCCUGAGAGGGGGGACGGUCACACGGGGACUGGGACACGGCCCAGACUCCUACGGGAGGCAGCAGUGGGGAAUAUUGCACAAUGGGCGCAAGCCUGAUGCAGCGACGCCGCGUGAGGGAUGGAGGCCUUCGGGGUGUAAACCUCUUUCGCCAGUGAAGCAGGCCUGCUCCUUGUGGGUGGGUUGACGGUAGCUGGAGAAGAAGCGCCGGCUAACUACGUG